ACCAAACUCCAGUCCAGGCAGCCACCUGGCCCGAGGCUAGCCUGGCCUUGCUGCUUCCUUUAGCGGCUUCCAGGCUCCAGGAACAGGGGGUCUGGGCCACCUAGGGGCUCUGUCACAGCCACAGCCACCCCACAGGACCCCUGUCUCCCAUCUGAGAGGACAGCCCUCUUCCUGGAGCUGGGAUCUGGCGCUUGCUGACACCAACAGCGGAUACCAGGUCUUCAAGAUUUUCUCAUCACAUCUCCCCAGAGGAGCCACAACAUCGUCUCCUCCGAAAACAAAGCUAGAACCUUCACUGUAGACGCACCUGUGUUCUUCCCCCAAACCCAGUCCAGCUUAUCUCCAGAAAAACUAUAUGACUCGCCCUGGAGAAGAGAAAAAAAAGCCUCUCCCCACCAACUUCAUCCCACAAAUCACUGGAUUUGAGGCUGGAGACAGAAGAAUUGGCUGUGUACUUAAGUUUCACAUUGACUAUUGUUUUAUGUGAAUGUCUGAUAAGGAAAACACAAUGGCUGCCAGCUGGGGGCUGGGAGUGAGAUUUCCCACUUGGAGAAUUCUAGAAGACAUGCCUGGAGUUCUGGAGUCUGGAUCCUCUGGACAGACAGGUGGAGACACCAAAGCUUGUGGAAUCUUCAUAACAACAAUGAUUCAUUUGAUGGGUGAAGAAACUGAGGAACAGACAGCUGAAGCACCAUCAUCACAGACCUUCAAGGGGGACAGCCACAUCAUCAAACUGCCUCUGACAAUGGCCUCUGAUCUGUCCUCAAGCUGAUGCUAUUGGUGAAAGGGACUAGGCCUACAGUGCUAGGAAAAAUUAGGCUCAACUGGCACUUAAAAACAGUUAAGUAUUCCCCUGAUGGAAGAUUGCUGACAUCCCCCAUCUCCUCACUUGUCCUGUCUAGAGCACUUGAAGAUGCUGCUAUUCCAGGCCACCUCAGUCCACCCUUUCUCAUCCAUCCAUCCAUCCAUCCACUCAUUCAUCUUUUCAUCUACCCACCCAUCAUAUCAUUUGUCCAUCCAUCCUUCCCCUAACCACCUACCCAUCUAUUCAGCUACUUAUUCGUCCAUUUAUCACAUGCACCUACGUAUCUUUCCAUCCGUCUCAUCCAUCUACUUACCCAUCCACUCAUCACCCUCCACACAUGCCCAUCUACUCAUAACACCUUUUUGUUAAUCUGUCCACCAAUCUAUCCACCCAGCCAUCUCCCCAGUUACUCAUUCAUCUGCUUGUCUCAUCCAUCCAGGUAUUUCUCCAUCUGUUACAUGCAUGCAUCCCUCCACCCAUCUAUCACAUCCAUCCAUCACAUCACGUUCAUUCAUCAGUCCAUCCACCUAUCCACCCACCCAGACAUACAUUCAUUCAUCCAUCCACCUUCCCCUUCAUUCAUCCACUCAAUUAACCUUCAAUCAAGGUCUACAUGGGACCAAGCCCUGUCAAAGGCUGGAGUAUAACAAAAAGAAUUAGAUAGAAACAGAUCUUUUCUUCAAGGAGAUUCAAGGUACUUACAGAAACGAGAAACUACCAAAGAAGCAAAAUAAAUCACCAAGGGAAACUUGUCGAAAGGAAAAUAAGGGUAGAAAAGGAAUAAGGCCAGGAGUCAGGUUAGCGCACAGGUGUGCACACUUAGCAUCUCGUCCUCACAGUUGCUCAGGGUAGUCCCAAAUUGGCACUGAGCAAGACCCUGGCACUCAAGGCAGAACAACACAAGAGUCACAGUCCACUUCGUUGUGGUAGACACUCCCCAGAAUACCCUGUUCUCCUAUAACACGCUGGGGUUAUAUGUGCCCCAGGGUACAUUUGGCUUUCUGGAGACAUGUUUGGUUGGCACAGUUGAUGGGG
Cebus imitator (Panamanian white-faced capuchin) is the source of this 1840-nucleotide long non-coding RNA. RefSeq lists it as uncharacterized. The transcript has 3 exons. The record is from RefSeq and is a predicted model, not a curated record. Lineage: Eukaryota; Metazoa; Chordata; Mammalia; Primates; Cebidae.